Non-coding RNA from Acanthosepion pharaonis, 113 nucleotides. The record is from the annotation of a GenBank genome assembly. Lineage: Eukaryota; Metazoa; Mollusca; Cephalopoda; Sepiida; Sepiidae.
UACGGCCACGUCACGUGGAAACAUCGGUUCCCAUACGAUCGCCGAAGUUACGCAACUUCGAGUCUGGUCAAUACUUUGAUGGGUAGCCGCUUAGGAAUACCAGGUGUUGUAAG